This is a small nucleolar RNA of Anopheles maculipalpis, 72 nucleotides long. RefSeq annotates it as small nucleolar RNA U18. The transcript has a single exon. NCBI's taxonomy places the organism in Eukaryota, Metazoa, Arthropoda, Insecta, Diptera, Culicidae. The record is from RefSeq and is a predicted model, not a curated record.
UUACUGAUGAAAAUUAUUGGUCCGUGUUUAUGAAAUCGAAUGAUUUUAUUCAUUUCCAUUUAUCUGAAUUGU